This 492-nucleotide ribosomal RNA is filed under the name uncultured bacterium. RNAcentral's name for it is "partial 16S ribosomal RNA". It matches the Rfam family "Bacterial small subunit ribosomal RNA", at positions 29 to 507 of the family's 1533-position model. The record is from RNAcentral.
AGUGAACGCUGGCGGUAGGCCUAACACAUGCAAGUCGAACAGCAGCACAGUAAGAGCUUGCUCUUACGGGUGGCGAGUGGCGGACGGGUGAGGAAUACAUCGGAAUCUACUUUUUCGUGGGGGAUAACGUAGGGAAACUUACGCUAAUACCGCAUACGACCUACGGGUGAAAGCAGGGGAUCUUCGGACCUUGCGCGAUUGAAUGAGCCGAUGUCGGAUUAGCUAGUUGGCGGGGUAAAGGCCCACCAAGGCGACGAUACGUAGCUGGUCUGAGAGGAUGAUCAGCCACACUGGAACUGAGACACGGUCCAGACUCCUACGGGAGGCAGCAGUGGGGAAUAUUGGACAAUGGGCGCAAGCCUGAUCCAGCCAUGCCGCGUGGGUGAAGAAGGCCUUCGGGUUGUAAAGCCCUGUUGUUGGGAAAGAAAAGCAGCAGGUUAAUACCCCGCUGUUCUGACGGUACCCAAAGAAUAAGCACCGGCUAACUUCGUG